Molecule: ribosomal RNA, 713 nt
Filed under: uncultured beta proteobacterium
Lineage: Bacteria; Pseudomonadati; Pseudomonadota; Betaproteobacteria
Description: bacterial SSU rRNA
Rfam family: Bacterial small subunit ribosomal RNA
Source: RNAcentral
ACACAUGCAAGUCGAACGGCAGCACGGGUGCUUGCACCUGGUGGCGAGUGGCGAACGGGUGAGUAAUACAUCGGAACAUGUCCUGUAGUGGGGGAUAGCCCGGCGAAAGCCGGAUUAAUACCGCAUACGAUCUACGGAUGAAAGCGGGGGACCUUCGGGCCUCGCGCUAUAGGGUUGGCCGAUGGCUGAUUAGCUAGUUGGUGGGGUAAAGGCCUACCAAGGCGACGAUCAGUAGCUGGUCUGAGAGGACGACCAGCCACACUGGGACUGAGACACGGCCCAGACUCCUACGGGAGGCAGCAGUGGGGAAUUUUGGACAAUGGGCGAAAGCCUGAUCCAGCAAUGCCGCGUGUGUGAAGAAGGCCUUCGGGUUGUAAAGCACUUUUGUCCGGAAAGAAAUCCUUGGUUCUAAUAUAGCCGGGGGAUGACGGUACCGGAAGAAUAAGCACCGGCUAACUACGUGCCAGCAGCCGCGGUAAUACGUAGGGUGCGAGCGUUAAUCGGAAUUACUGGGCGUAAAGCGUGCGCAGGCGGUUUGCUAAGACCGAUGUGAAAUCCCCGGGCUCAACCUGGGAACUGCAUUGGUGACUGGCAGGCUAGAGUAUGGCAGAGGGGGGUAGAAUUCCACGUGUAGCAGUGAAAUGCGUAGAGAUGUGGAGGAAUACCGAUGGCGAAGGCAGCCCCCUGGGCCAAUACUGACGCUCAUGCACGAA